GCCUGGGUGGUUUAGUCGGUUAAGCAUCCGACUUUGGCUCGGGUCAUGAUCUCACGGUUCAUGGGUUCGAGCCCCACAUCAGGCU
This 85-nucleotide transfer RNA is filed under the name Felis catus (domestic cat). It matches the Rfam family "tRNA". From Rfam's summary of the family: Transfer RNA (tRNA) molecules are approximately 80 nucleotides in length. The record is from Rfam by way of RNAcentral. Lineage: Eukaryota; Metazoa; Chordata; Mammalia; Carnivora; Felidae.